Molecule: long non-coding RNA, 434 nt
Filed under: Canis lupus dingo (dingo)
Lineage: Eukaryota; Metazoa; Chordata; Mammalia; Carnivora; Canidae
Description: lncRNA (ENSCAFG00020024775.1)
Source: RNAcentral
AUCGUUGCGCCUCCUGGGAGAAGGGACGCCGUCAUCUUCCACCGAAAGCUUUGGAAAGCAUUAAGGAAAUUCCUGUAGCCUCACAGUUACUACGGUUCCUCCCAUAGUUGCUUAUAAUGGGCUCAAAAUGCCAGACGCAAUGUCUAACAAGGAUGGAGACAAGAAAAGAGAUUGUAGACCUUUAAAAAACAAGAAGGCAGUAAGUACCUGUUUCAUCAGCAUAAGGGCUAUUUGUAUGUAAGGAUGGAAGGAGCCUGGGAGCCUGAAUGGGGGAAAGUUGUCCAAUGACUAAGGACACCUGCUUUUAACAGCAAAGGAUACAGUCAACAAAACUCAAAGACAACCUACAGAAUGGGAGAAGAUAUUUGCAAAUGACAUAUCAGAUAAAGGGCUAGUUUCCAAGAUCUAUAAAGAACUUAUUAAACUCAACACCA